UACGUAGGUGGCGAGCGUUGUCCGGAUUUAUUGGGUUUAAAGGGUGCGUAGGCGGCUUUGUAAGUCAGUGGUGAAAUACUCCAGCUUAACUGGAGGGGUGCCAUUGAUACUGCGGAGCUUGAGUACAGAUGAGGUAGGCGGAAUUGACGGUGUAGCGGUGAAAUGCAUAGAUAUCAGGAGGAACACCGGCGGUGUAGACGGCUUACUGGACCAUGACUGACGCUGAGGCACGAAAGCGUGGGGAGCAAACAGG
Molecule: ribosomal RNA, 253 nt
Filed under: uncultured bacterium
Lineage: Bacteria
Description: partial 16S ribosomal RNA
Rfam family: Bacterial small subunit ribosomal RNA
Source: RNAcentral